RNAcentral lists this ribosomal RNA (501 nucleotides) under uncultured bacterium. Its description in RNAcentral is "partial 16S ribosomal RNA". It matches the Rfam family "Bacterial small subunit ribosomal RNA", at positions 30 to 523 of the family's 1533-position model. The record is from RNAcentral.
AUUGAACGCUGGCGGCAGGCUUAACACAUGCAAGUCGAGCGGAGAUGAGGUGCUUGCACCUUAUCUUAGCGGCGGACGGGUGAGUAAUGCUUAGGAAUCUGCCUAUUAGUGGGGGACAACAUUCCGAAAGGAAUGCUAAUACCGCAUACGUCCUACGGGAGAAAGCAGGGGAUCUUCGGACCUUGCGCUAAUAGAUGAGCCUAAGUCGGAUUAGCUAGUUGGUGGGGUAAAGGCCUACCAAGGCGACGAACUGUAGCGGGUCUGAGAGGAUGAUCCGCCACACUGGGACUGAGACACGGCCCAGACUCCUACGGGAGGCAGCAGUGGGGAAUACUGGACAAUGGGGGGAACCCUGAUCCAGCCAUGCCGCGUGUGUGAAGAAGGCCUUAUGGUUGUAAAGCACUUUAAGCGAGGAGGAGGCUACUGAGACUAAUACUCUUGGAUAGUGGACGUUACUCGCAGAAUAAGCACCGGCUAACUCUGUGCCAGCCGCCGCAGUAA